AAGAACGUGGGAGCUGUCAGAGGGUAUCCUGCACGCCGCUACAUGCGUUACAUGGACGACCUAGACUGCCUCACUCAAAAUCAGAUCUUCUGGACACCGUACAGUAGAGCCGAGCUGGACGAGUUGGAACUGAGUGAUAUUUGCACACGCGAUGCCGAACUGUGGAGGACUUGCGUGCCUUUGAUUUUUUUCUUUGUAGUCGAGAUGCACUUGCCGCACUGUGUGAAGAGACAGUUCGGCAGAUUGCAAGACUUCCCUCCGGAGGGAAUUUCGACGUCCCAAGCUUUGCAUAGUAUUGACAGGAAGAAACGGUACACUGAGAAUGAUUGGCGUGUGAAACACGCACAGCCACUGGCACAGUGGGAACAA
Panicum virgatum (switchgrass) is the source of this 369-nucleotide long non-coding RNA. RefSeq lists it as uncharacterized. The transcript has 3 exons. Lineage: Eukaryota; Viridiplantae; Streptophyta; Magnoliopsida; Poales; Poaceae. The record is from RefSeq and is a predicted model, not a curated record.